CCUAAGGCGAGGCCGAAAGGCGUAGUCGAUGGAAGACAGGUAGAUAUUCCUGUACUACCGAUAAAUCGUUAACAGAGGCGGAGGGACGCAGGAGGAUAGGCAUGCAAGCGACUGGAAGAGCUUGUAAAAGCGUGUAGGUAGAGUCAGUAGGAAAAUCCGCUGAUUCGUUAAAAACUGAGGCGUGAAAAGGAGUCUCUACGGAGACGAAGAUGUUGAAUCCACACUGCCAAGAAAAACUUCGCUAUCGAGAUUUAUAGGUAUCCGUACCGAAAACCGCCACAGGUAGGUUGGUAGAGAAUACUAAGGUGCGCGAGAUAACUCUCGCUAAGGAACUCGGCAAAAUGACCUCGUAACUUCGGGAGAAGAGGUACCCUGUUAGAGUGAAGGACCACGCGUCUGGAGCUUGAUAGGGUCGCAGUGAAUAGGCCCAAGCGACUGUUUACCAAAAACACAGGUCUCUGCAAAGUCGAUCAAGACGAUGUAUAGGGGCUGACGCCUGCCCGGUGUCGGAAGGUUACGCGGAAGGGUAAGAGGCAACUCGAAGCUCAGAAGCUAAGCCCCGAUGAACGGCGGCCGUAACUAUAACGGUCCUAAGGUAGCGAAAUUCCUUGUCAGGUAAGUUCUGACCCGCACGAAUGGCGUAACGAUUUGGGCGCUGUCUCGGCGAGAGGCUCGGCGAAAUUGGAUUAUCCGUGAAGAUACGGAUUACGUAUACCAGGACAGAAAGACCCUAUUGAGCUUUACUGUAGCUUGAAAUUGAAUUCGGGUUCUUAUUGUGCAGUAUAGGUGGGAGACAUUGAAGCAGGGACGUCAGUUUCUGUGGAGUCAUCGUUGAGAUACCACUCUGUAAUAAUUUGAAUUCUAACACUGAGCCCUCGAAGAACAGGGCAGUGGACAGUUUCUGGUAGGCAGUUUGACUGGGGCGGUCGCCUCCUAAAAAGUAACGGAGGCGUUCAAAGGUUCCCUCAGGUUGGUCGGAAAUCAACCAAUGAGUGCAAUAGCAAAAGGGAGCUUGACUGCGAGACCAACAAGUCGAGCAGGUGCGAAAGCAGGAUAUAGUGAUCCGGUGGUUCUGCAUGGAAGGGCCAUCGCUCAUCGGAUAAAAGUUACCAUAGGGAUAACAGGCUUAUCUCCCCCAAGAGUCCACAUCGACGGGGAGGUUUGGCACCUCGAUGUCGGCUCGUCGCAUCCUGGAGCGGUAGUACGUUCCAAGGGUUGGGCUGUUCGCCCAUUAAAGCGGCACGCGAGCUGGGUUCAGAACGUCGUGAGACAGUUCGGUCCAUAUCCGGUAUACGCGCAAGAGAUUUGAACGGAGUCUUCCUUAGUACGAGAGGACCGGGAAGAGGGGACCUCCAGUGUACGGGUUAUCGCGCCAGCGGUAAACGCCCGGUAGCUGUGUUCCAAGCGGAUAAGUGCUGAAAGCAUAUAAGUACGAAGCCCACCGUAAGAUAAGAUCUCUCAUAGCAGAAGCUAGUAAGUCCCGUUGCAGAAAACGACGUAGAUAGGUCAGAGGUGUAAGUAUGGCAACAUAUUCAGCCGACUGAAACUAAUAGGACGAGGGCUUUUCCUA
This 1570-nucleotide ribosomal RNA is filed under the name gut metagenome. RNAcentral describes it as "bacterial LSU rRNA". It matches the Rfam family "Bacterial large subunit ribosomal RNA", at positions 1390 to 2925 of the family's 2925-position model. The record is from RNAcentral.